AAUAAAUGCAGUUUUGCACUAUUCACAUUUAACGUUUGACCGUUUGUCUUAUUUAAAAUUUUUUUAAUAUUUCUAUUGCUAUUAGAUGAUAAAACAUGAAUAGUACUUUAUGUGUGACUAAAUAUUUUUAAAUUUUCACAAAUUUUUUAAAUAAGACGGACGGUCAAACGUUGGGCUCGGAUAUCCACGGCUGUACUUAUU
Molecule: microRNA precursor, 201 nt
Organism: Oryza sativa Japonica Group (Japanese rice)
Lineage: Eukaryota; Viridiplantae; Streptophyta; Magnoliopsida; Poales; Poaceae
Rfam family: MIR812 microRNA precursor family
Source: Rfam